UACAGAGGGUGCAAGCGUUAAUCGGAAUUACUGGGCGUAAAGCGCGCGUAGGCGGUUGUGUAAGUUGGAGGUGAAAUCCCCGGGCUUAACCUGGGCAUUGCCUUCAAAACUGCAUGGCUAGAGUACGGGAGAGGGGGGUAGAAUUCCAGGUGUAGCGGUGAAAUGCGUAGAGAUCUGGAGGAAUACCGAUGGCGAAGGCAGCCCCCUGGCCUGCUACUGACGCUGAAGUGCGAAAGCAUGGGGAGCAAACAGGAUUAGAUACCCUGGUAGUCCAUGCCGUAAACGAUGUCGACUAGGUGUUGGGGAACUUGAUUCCUUAGUGCCGCAGCUAACGCAUUAAGUCGACCGCCUGGGGAGUACGGUCGCAAGACUAAA
Molecule: ribosomal RNA, 375 nt
Filed under: uncultured bacterium
Lineage: Bacteria
Description: bacterial SSU rRNA
Rfam family: Bacterial small subunit ribosomal RNA
Source: RNAcentral